UUCUCCCUUUUCUCCUGAUGAAGCUGGAUAUGUGAAACAUGUUGAGAAAGGAGACAUCUGUGAAAAUGUAUUUAAUGGAACCCCUGGACUAAUUGACACGUGUUGUAUACAAAAUUACACCACCUUAAAAGCCACAUUAAGCCAUUAUUUGUCAUUUGUAGUUGGUUCAGGAAUCUGCAAAAAUUGCUUAAUCCCUUGCAAUGUAUAUUACCUGGAGAUGAUUUAAUGCUCUAAUGAGCUGCUUAGUUUCCAGAUAUUGGUUUGUGUAUAUCCUUUGUGUUUGUUUUUUGUUUUUUGCCAGGAUCUGCCUUAAUUCCUGUAAUUUUCUUCUGCCAUUUCAAAUCAAACUGUUAUUGCAUCAGUGGGAUGUUGCACGAUAAAAGUGAAUCUUUACUAUCACUUGAACUAUUGUCAGUGUAUAAUAGAGUAAACCUUUGCAACCCCUUUAA
Molecule: long non-coding RNA, 449 nt
Organism: Rana temporaria (common frog)
Lineage: Eukaryota; Metazoa; Chordata; Amphibia; Anura; Ranidae
Exons: 2
Source: RefSeq, a predicted model, not a curated record